This 253-nucleotide ribosomal RNA is filed under the name uncultured bacterium. RNAcentral describes it as "partial 16S ribosomal RNA". It matches the Rfam family "Bacterial small subunit ribosomal RNA", at positions 524 to 776 of the family's 1533-position model. The record is from RNAcentral.
UACGUAGGGACCGAGCGUUGUCCGGAAUUAUUGGGCGUAAAGAGCGUGUAGGUGGCUUGGUAGGUCUCGUGUUAAAGCCCGCGGCUCAACCGCGGAAUCGCACGGGAAACCCCCUCGCUAGAGUCCGGAAGAGGGAUGUGGAAUUCCAGGUGUAGCGGUGAAAUGCGUAGAUAUCGGGAGGAACACCGGUGGCGAAGGCGGCCCCCUGGUUGGAUACUGACGCUGAGACGCGAAAGCGUGGGGAGCAAACAGG